GUGAACCUGCGGAGGGAUCAUUACUGA
This 27-nucleotide ribosomal RNA is filed under the name Colletotrichum dematium. RNAcentral's name for it is "partial 18S ribosomal RNA". The record is from RNAcentral. Lineage: Eukaryota; Fungi; Ascomycota; Sordariomycetes; Glomerellales; Glomerellaceae.